CGGGGCGUGGCUCAGCUUGGCUAGAGUGCCUGCCUUGGGAGCAGGAGGUCGCUGGUUCGAAUCCAGUCGCCCCGACCA
This 78-nucleotide transfer RNA is filed under the name Candidatus Scalindua brodae. Its description in RNAcentral is "tRNA-Pro". It matches the Rfam family "tRNA". From Rfam's summary of the family: Transfer RNA (tRNA) molecules are approximately 80 nucleotides in length. Their secondary structure includes four short double-helical elements and three loops (D, anti-codon, and T loops). Lineage: Bacteria; Pseudomonadati; Planctomycetota; Candidatus Brocadiia; Candidatus Brocadiales; Candidatus Scalinduaceae. RNAcentral also lists the same sequence under 10 other names. The record is from RNAcentral.